AACUGCAGUCGACGAGGGAGCAAUCCCUAGUGGCGAACGGCGGAGUAAUACAUGAACAACGUGCCCUAAAGUCCGGGACAAACGCAGAAAUGCCAUAAAUACCGGAUGUGGUCCAGACCUGGCAUCAGGAUUGGAUUAAAUGGUUUUUCGCUUUAGGAGCGGUUCAUGGCCUAUCAGGUAGUUGGUGGGGUAACAGCCUACCAAGCCGACGACAGGUAGCGGGUCUGAGAGGAUGAUCCGCUCGAGUGGGACUGAGACACGGCCCACACACCUACGGGUGGCAGCAGUUGGGAAUCUUGCACAAUGGGGGAAACCCUGAUGCAGCGACGCCGCGUGGAGGAUGACGGAUCUAGGUCUGUAAACUCCUUUUUCAUGGAAAGACUUAGGACGGUACCAUGAGAAUAAGGACCGGCUAACUACGUGCCAGCAGCCGCGGUAAGACGUAGGGUCCAAGCGUUGUCCGGAUUUACUGGGCGUAAAGAGCGCGUAGGCGGUCUGUUAAGUGUGAAGUGAAAUCUCCAGGGCUCAACCCGGAAACUGCUUCGCAUACUGGCAGACUUGAGGAAUGCAGAGGUUUGUGGAAUUCCCGGUGUAACGGUGAAAUGUGUUGAUAUCGGGAGGAACACCCAUGGCGAAGGCAGCAAACUGGGCAUUAUCUGACGCUGAGGCGCGAAAGCGUGGGUAGCAAACAGGAUUAGAUACCCUGGUAGUCCACGCCCUAAACGAUGGAUACUAGGCGUAAGAGGUAUCGACCCCUCUUGUGCCGCAGCUAACGCAUUAAGUAUCCCGCCUGGGGAGUACGGCCGCAAGGUUGAAACUCAAAUGAAUUGACGGGGAACCCGCACAAGCGGUGGAGCAUGUGGGAUUAAUUCGAUACUAACCGAAAAACCUUACCCCAGGUUUGAACAUCGAUUGAAAGCCCCUAGAGAUAGGGCCCCUCCCCCACAAGGGGGACAUGAAAACACUUGUUGCAUGGCUGUCGUCACCUCGUGCC
RNAcentral lists this ribosomal RNA (994 nucleotides) under uncultured bacterium. RNAcentral describes it as "bacterial SSU rRNA". It matches the Rfam family "Bacterial small subunit ribosomal RNA", at positions 52 to 1066 of the family's 1533-position model. The record is from RNAcentral.